RNAcentral lists this long non-coding RNA (783 nucleotides) under Homo sapiens (human). RNAcentral's name for it is "HSALNT0333891". Lineage: Eukaryota; Metazoa; Chordata; Mammalia; Primates; Hominidae. The record is from RNAcentral.
CUUCAGCAGAUCACCAUUGCUUUCAACUUUGGAAGGAGCAGGCCUUCUGGGGACACCCAAGACAUUCCUGGGCAGACAUCCCCAAAGAACAUUCAAGUCUGAGCCUCAAGGAGCCUCUGCGACUCGGUGUCUAGAUCCAGGAAAUGGAGAAUGAGCCGUGACUUUGGAUGCUUCACUCUUGUCCAUCAGGCUCGGAAUUGGUGAGCAUCUCCCACAUUACCGUCUCCAACGGAACAAGGUGCCCCAUUGGACAUUUCCUCUGCAUGGACCAGCCAUUCUCCAAAUCUGCCCCCAUGUCACCCCAGCUCCCCAUCGCAGUCACUUCUCACUCCUUGUCCCCUGUCCCCCUGAGUGACAGGACUUUUGCCAGUUAGGUCCUGUCCCUGUUUCUGAUCUUGGGUCCAUUCCCCAUGGUCCCUUUCUUGCUUGUGCCUUGGGAUCUCAGGCCUGUUGAAGUAGGAGGCAGGACUCAACUUCAGACCAGAUUGAAGACUGGCUGACACAGAAGAGGCACCAAAAGCACCUCUCUCUCCAUAAGACAUGCCCACCAGUGCCAUGACAGUUUACCAUUGCUAUGGCAAUGCCCAGAAGUUCUCACCCCUUUUCCAGACAUUUCUGCAUAAUCUACCCCUCAAUUGGCAUGUGAUCAAAAGUGGGUGUCAAAAUGACUGUGGAACUGUCCCUGAGCUGCUACUCUUGACAUGCUGGUUACAGGGUAGCCCGGCUCUGCAGGGACAGUCACGGAGCUGAAAAACUGCUGCCUAAUGAAGCUGUUUUCUUCUA